CCAUUGGUGGUUUAGUGGUAGAAUUCCCACCAUCCAUGUGGAAGGUCCGGGUUCAAUUCCCAGCCAACGUA
This 71-nucleotide transfer RNA is filed under the name Loxodonta africana (African savanna elephant). It matches the Rfam family "tRNA". Rfam says of the family: Transfer RNA (tRNA) molecules are approximately 80 nucleotides in length. The record is from Rfam by way of RNAcentral. Lineage: Eukaryota; Metazoa; Chordata; Mammalia; Proboscidea; Elephantidae.